GACGAACGCUGGCGGCGUGCUUAACACAUGCAAGUCGAACGGAAAGGCCCUGCUUUUGUGGGGUGCUCGAGUGGCGAACGGGUGAGUAACACGUGAGUAACCUGCCCUUGACUUUGGGAUAACUUCAGGAAACUGGGGCUAAUACCGGAUAGGAGAUCCUGCUGCAUGGUGGGGGAUGGAAAGUUUCGGCGGUUGGGGAUGGACUCGCGGCUUAUCAGCUUGUUGGUGGGGUAGUGGCUUACCAAGGCUUUGACGGGUAGCCGGCCUGAGAGAGUGACCGGCGACAUUGGGACUGCGAUACGGCGCAGACUCGUACGGGAGGCAGCAGUGGGGAAUAUUGCACAAUGGGCGGAAGCCUGAUGCAGCAACGCCGCGUGCGUGAUGACGGCCUUCGAGUUGUAAACCGCUUUCGCCUGUGACGAAGCGUGAGUGACGGUAAUGGGUAAAGAAGCACCGGCUAACUACGUG
Molecule: ribosomal RNA, 468 nt
Filed under: uncultured bacterium
Lineage: Bacteria
Description: partial 16S ribosomal RNA
Rfam family: Bacterial small subunit ribosomal RNA
Source: RNAcentral